This 199-nucleotide long non-coding RNA is filed under the name Lathyrus oleraceus (garden pea). Its description in RNAcentral is "Pisum sativum (pea) long non-coding RNA (PSAT_LNC013675)". The record is from RNAcentral. Lineage: Eukaryota; Viridiplantae; Streptophyta; Magnoliopsida; Fabales; Fabaceae.
UGACACCUUUGUAUCCUUUGUGAUCGUUUUGUCAGCAUAAUCAUCAUACAUUCAUAAAAUUUCAUAAUUGCAUAUUGGCACCAUCAUAUUUGUUUGAUUUGUCGAUUUGAGAUUCUCCUUCUCUGUAUGGUGGUACUUUAUCCCUAUACAAAUUUAGGUGUAUGUCCUCCCUCAAUUGUAGAGCGUCGGCCCCUUAGGC